This 375-nucleotide long non-coding RNA is filed under the name Nicotiana benthamiana. Its description in RNAcentral is "long non-coding RNA (NBEN_LNC034295)". Lineage: Eukaryota; Viridiplantae; Streptophyta; Magnoliopsida; Solanales; Solanaceae. The record is from RNAcentral.
UCACUUCACUCGCUCUCGUUCAGUAGCGGUUCUUCAUUCUUUAGAUAGCCGCGUGAGAGCUCUGAAAUUCCAUUCAGUUCAGGUCCUUAGUUCCAGUCGAAUCGCGAGCAAAGCUCGACACUGCUAGCGAAGCUCUACGACAGAGCAUAUCCAUUAUUUCCAUUAUAGAGCCAAUCACACUGCUCUCUCUCUUUCCGGCCGGUAUGUAGAAUCGUCGGAGCGAUCAGAGCAAGCGGUUCAAAGAGCUUCCAAAAGAAUGCCUGUCUGAGAGGGUCUCGUCCGGGAAAAGAAAGGUUAAAGAGUCAGUCGGCUUGCCACGCUUGCCUUACCUCAGAGAUGAAGCCGAAGGAAAAAACCUGAGGAGUUGUUCUCCUC